GGGGGUACGAACACUGCUUUAAACAAUUGCACUAAAAGCAUUACAAAUUGUACUGUACACUUAGCCCAUCUUUUCUUUCCCAUCACACUUGGGCUCAUCUCAUCUCCUUUUGUUUUUAGCUAUUCUCUUAUAUUUAUAUUUCUAGCGCACACCAGGUGUUUGACAAAAUGUUACUAUUAGCCAUAGGCUUCAGAAAGAGGAACUUUCCAGAGAAUUUCAGAGAAGAGAGCUUUUGCAGUUAAGGUGAUUUCAAUUCGGAUCAAGAAGAAUGGCUAAUCCUAUACCACCAACGAUCCAUUAUAGUGCGCAACCAGUAUUCUAUCAUAUCUGAAUUCAUAUGGGGUAUGGUGAUCCCACACUAUUAGAGUUAGCAGUUAAGAUUGAGUCAGAUGCCAGCAUGGGGCUUCUCAAAAACGGAGAUUGUAUGUCUAUAUUCUUUGUCGAUGCAGUGAGCUCUCUUCUUGGAGCUCUACUCUAUCAAGGUGCUUUCGAGUAUAGGAUGUUUUAGGACCGAUAGAAAUAGAAAUGGUCUCACGUGUAAACUUAUAAGUCGUAUCUUAGAGUUCUUUCCUGUAAAUGUAGCCUGUAACUUUUAAGACCCUCAAGUUUCUUUAAUUGGGAGAAUUAGGUGCAAAAAAAAUUGCUACCUAAGUGUAUUGUUGAAAUUUAUGCCAUCAGCUUCUUCAUUGCAAUGUUAUCAUACGACUAAGGAAAGAAAGCAAAGUUACUCUGGAAGCACUCUAUCAUUCAACUCCAGUUCCUGUUAUUUCUUGCAUUAUGAAAUUUG
Long non-coding RNA from Lycium barbarum (goji berry), 787 nucleotides. RefSeq lists it as uncharacterized. The transcript is spliced from 3 exons. The record is from RefSeq and is a predicted model, not a curated record. Lineage: Eukaryota; Viridiplantae; Streptophyta; Magnoliopsida; Solanales; Solanaceae.